This is a long non-coding RNA of Etheostoma cragini (Arkansas darter), 68 nucleotides long. RefSeq lists it as uncharacterized. The record is from RefSeq and is a predicted model, not a curated record. The transcript has 3 exons. Lineage: Eukaryota; Metazoa; Chordata; Actinopteri; Perciformes; Percidae.
UGCAAUUCACGUACUAUUGGUUUAAUAGUAAGGUUCCAGACAUACUAAAAAAUGUCACUUUCUGUUUU